This 253-nucleotide ribosomal RNA is filed under the name uncultured bacterium. RNAcentral describes it as "partial 16S ribosomal RNA". It matches the Rfam family "Bacterial small subunit ribosomal RNA", at positions 524 to 776 of the family's 1533-position model. The record is from RNAcentral.
UACGUAGGGUGCAAGCGUUAAUCGGAAUUACUGGGCGUAAAGCGUGCGCAGGCGGUCGUGCAAGACAGAUGUGAAAUCCCCGGGCUUAACCUGGGAAUUGCAUUUGUGACUGCACGGCUAGAGUGUGUCAGAGGGGGGUAGAAUUCCACGUGUAGCAGUGAAAUGCGUAGAUAUGUGGAGGAAUACCGAUGGCGAAGGCAGCCCCCUGGGAUAACACUGACGCUCAUGCACGAAAGCGUGGGGAGCAAACAGG